Molecule: ribosomal RNA, 254 nt
Filed under: uncultured bacterium
Lineage: Bacteria
Description: partial 16S ribosomal RNA
Rfam family: Bacterial small subunit ribosomal RNA
Source: RNAcentral
UACGUAGGGUGCGAGCGUUAAUCGGAAUUACUGGGCGUAAAGCGUGCGCAGGCGGUCUGUUAAGACCGAUGUGAAAUCCCCGGGCUUAACCUGGGAACUGCAUUGGUGACUGGCAGGCUUUGAGUGUGGCAGAGGGAGGUAGAAUUCCACGUGUAGCAGUGAAAUGCGUAGAGAUGUGGAGGAAUACCGAUGGCGAAGGCAGCCCCCCUGGGCUAACACUGACGCUCAGGCACGAAGCGUGGGGAGCAAACAGG